GAUUCUUGCUUGUAUCUCUAUUAUGCAAUUCAUGUAGGGAACUUGUAGGGAAUGUUUUGGGUUUUCGUAUGCAAUCAUCCAACCUAAUAACUUGUGGAAAAACUGAGGGUUAAUUAGUGCAAUUCACGGUUAAUUUGGGGCGUUGAGUAUUCAUAGUUUAUUGAAAAGCAACUGGAAAUCGUUUUGUAUGCAAGUGUGACAUGUGUGGAGAAGAACCUCCUAGCUAGCCUUCCAUCCAUAAGUUUCAUUCAAAUUCAUUUACAAUCUGUUUUGUUUUACAAAGUGUGUUUUGUUUUCAAAUUCGUCAAGAACCAAUCUCCCAUUUAUUUCAAAGUGUUAGAUUAGUUAGUAAUCACUUUAGUUUGUGUUUUUAAGUGUCUUGAGUCAAGUCAUAACCCAAUUUUGUCCAAUUUAGUGUUAGGUGUUCAAAACUGCCCAGAAAGUGUUUUUAAGGCAGUUUUGAGUGUUUAUUUGCUGUUUUGAAUCUUUUUGUUUAUCUUAGUAUUUUAAAGUAUAGUUUUGCAUUCUUUGAGUCUAGUUUAGCGUUUAAACUUUGUUUUUACGUUUUCAAGUCAGUUUUCAAGUGAUUUAGCAAUCCCUCCUAAUCCCCAGCCUAGAACGAUCCCUACUUACAUACUUUACUACAUUUGAUAAAAAGAAGGUUUAAUUUGUGUGCUUAUAUAUUUCGCAUCAAAUUUUUGGCUCCGUUGCCGGGGAUUAGCAACUUUG
This 729-nucleotide long non-coding RNA is filed under the name Malus domestica (apple). RNAcentral's name for it is "long non-coding RNA (MDOM_LNC006634)". Lineage: Eukaryota; Viridiplantae; Streptophyta; Magnoliopsida; Rosales; Rosaceae. The record is from RNAcentral.